GACCAGACUCCUACGGGAGGCAGCAGUGGGGAAUAUUGCACAAUGGGGGGAACCCUGAUGCAGCGACGCCGCGUGAGUGAAGAAGUAUUUCGGUAUGUAAAGCUCUAUCAGCAGGGAAGAAAAUGACGGUACCUGACUAAGAAGCCCCGGCUAACUACGUGCCAGCAGCCGCGGUAAUACGUAGGGGGCAAGCGUUAUCCGGAUUUACUGGGUGUAAAGGGAGCGCAGACGGCUGUGCAAGUCUGGAGUGAAAGGCGGGGGCCCAACCCCCGGACUGCCCUUGGAACUGCAUGGCUGGAGUGCGGGAGGGGCAGGCGGAAUUCCUGGUGUAGCGGUGAAAUGCGUAGAUAUCAGGAGGAACACCGGCGGCGAAGGCGGCCUGCUGGACCGCGACUGACGUUGAGGCUCGAAAGCGUGGGGAGCGAACAGGAUUAGAUACCCUAGUA
This 446-nucleotide ribosomal RNA is filed under the name uncultured bacterium. RNAcentral's name for it is "bacterial SSU rRNA". It matches the Rfam family "Bacterial small subunit ribosomal RNA", at positions 329 to 792 of the family's 1533-position model. The record is from RNAcentral.